RNAcentral lists this ribosomal RNA (716 nucleotides) under bacterium enrichment culture clone WG_333. RNAcentral's name for it is "bacterial SSU rRNA". It matches the Rfam family "Bacterial small subunit ribosomal RNA", at positions 72 to 767 of the family's 1533-position model. The record is from RNAcentral.
ACCGGAGCUUGCUCCACCGGAAAAAGAGGAGUGGCGAACGGGUGAGUAACACGUGGGUAACCUGCCCAUCAGAAGGGGAUAACACUUGGAAACAGGUGCUAAUACCGUAUAACAAUCGAAACCGCAUGGUUUUGAUUUGAAAGGCGCUUUCGGGUGUCGCUGAUGGAUGGACCCGCGGUGCAUUAGCUAGUUGGUGAGGUAACGGCUCACCAAGGCCACGAUGCAUAGCCGACCUGAGAGGGUGAACGGCCACAUUGGGACUGAGACACGGCCCAAACUCCUACGGGAGGCAGCAGUAGGGAAUCUUCGGCAAUGGACGAAAGUCUGACCGAGCAACGCCGCGUGAGUGAAGAAGGUUUUCGGAUCGUAAAACUCUGUUGUUAGAGAAGAACAAGGAUGAGAGUAACUGUUCAUCCCUUGACGGUAUCUAACCAGAAAGCCACGGCUAACUACGUGCCAGCAGCCGCGGUAAUACGUAGGUGGCAAGCGUUGUCCGGAUUUAUUGGGCGUAAAGCGAGCGCAGGCGGUUUCUUAAGUCUGAUGUGAAAGCCCCCGGCUCAACCGGGGAGGGUCAUUGGAAACUGGGAGACUUGAGUGCAGAAGAGGAGAGUGGAAUUCCAUGUGUAGCGGUGAAAUGCGUAGAUAUAUGGAGGAACACCAGUGGCGAAGGCGGCUCUCUGGUCUGUACUGACGCUGAGGCUCGAAAAGCGUGGGGA